This is a long non-coding RNA of Xiphophorus hellerii (green swordtail), 191 nucleotides long. RefSeq lists it as uncharacterized. The transcript has 3 exons. The record is from RefSeq and is a predicted model, not a curated record. NCBI's taxonomy places the organism in Eukaryota, Metazoa, Chordata, Actinopteri, Cyprinodontiformes, Poeciliidae.
UCCUGCAUGUUUUAGUUUCCUCCCUGGUUUAACGCACCUGGAUCCAAUGAUGGCUCGUUAGAGGCCUAAGAAGAGCAUUGACUUGCUGAAAUGGUUGUUACUACCACCAGGGAGAGAAUUAAGACAUGCAGGAUGCCAGCCCUCGAGGACCUACUUUGGGCACCCCUGAUCUAGAGCGACUGGGGAGAAAA